Long non-coding RNA from Manacus vitellinus (golden-collared manakin), 420 nucleotides. RefSeq lists it as uncharacterized. NCBI's taxonomy places the organism in Eukaryota, Metazoa, Chordata, Aves, Passeriformes, Pipridae. The record is from RefSeq and is a predicted model, not a curated record. The transcript has 3 exons.
GUGACCCUGUUCUUUGCAUUGUAUGACUGAAAUGUCUCAGUUCCUGCACAGUUGCCUAAAGUUCAUUUCAGGCUGAGUUUGUGGCUGUAUGGUGUGCAUUAUUCCACUCUCUUUUGUGAAUUUUUGGGGUACUUUUUCUCUAAGGCAACUGCUUAUAUUUUCUAUUUUGAGAGAUCUUGUAAGUUUACCUAUCCUUGGGUUACAGAAAAAGCUGCUUCUGAUCAUCUGUGUACAGAUCAAGUGCAGGAAAAGGGCAUCCAAAAGACCAAGGACGUGUAAGAUUCAAAGGUCAUUAAGGGCACCCAUGUCAGAAGUUGCUUGGACUCCAAGAUCUUGCUAAAGGUGUUCCAAUAUCCAAGAAACAGCUCCCAUCCAAAGGCAGAAACACCACCAAAUUUUUGAUGUGGUUUACUACUCUUU